This 253-nucleotide ribosomal RNA is filed under the name uncultured bacterium. RNAcentral's name for it is "partial 16S ribosomal RNA". It matches the Rfam family "Bacterial small subunit ribosomal RNA", at positions 524 to 776 of the family's 1533-position model. The record is from RNAcentral.
UACGAAGGGUGCAAGCGUUAAUCGGAAUUACUGGGCGUAAAGCGCGCGUAGGCGGCUGUCUAAGUCGGGUGUGAAAGCCCCGGGCUCAACCUGGGAACUGCAUUCGAUACUGGACGGCUAGAGUAUGAGAGAGGGAGGUAGAAUUCCACGUGUAGCGGUGAAAUGCGUAGAUAUGUGGAGGAAUACCGGUGGCGAAGGCGGCCUCCUGGUUCAAUACUGACGCUGAGGUGCGAAAGCGUGGGGAGCAAACAGG